Molecule: ribosomal RNA, 404 nt
Filed under: uncultured bacterium
Lineage: Bacteria
Description: bacterial SSU rRNA
Rfam family: Bacterial small subunit ribosomal RNA
Source: RNAcentral
UAGGGAAUAUUGCUUAAUGGGCGAAAGCCUGAAGCAGCAACGCCGCGUGUGUGAAGAAGGCCUUCGGGUUGUAAAACACUUUUUGAGGGAAUGAGGAAGGACAGUACCCUCAGAAUAAGCCUCGGCUAACUACGUGCCAGCAGCCGCGGUAAAACGUAGGAGGCGAGCGUUAUCCGGAUUUACUGGGCGUAAAGCGCGUGCAGGCGGCACGGCAAGUUGGAUGUGAAAGCUCCCGGCUUAACUGGGAGAGGUCGUUCAAAACUGCCGAGAUAGAGUGCGGGAGAGGGAGGUGGAAUUCCGGGUGUAGUGGUGAAAUGCGUAGAUAUCCGGAGGAACACCAGUGGCGAAAGCGGCCUCCUGGUCCGCAACUGACGCUCAGACGCGAAAGCGAGGGUAGCAAACGG